RNAcentral lists this long non-coding RNA (396 nucleotides) under Nicotiana benthamiana. RNAcentral's name for it is "long non-coding RNA (NBEN_LNC009229)". The record is from RNAcentral. Lineage: Eukaryota; Viridiplantae; Streptophyta; Magnoliopsida; Solanales; Solanaceae.
UGGUCCACUUCUCCUUUUGCGACAUCUGGUACCUAGGUUCCAUUUUUAAGAUACCAGAAACCAUUCCAAUCCUGUUGAACUAAAGCUUCGGGAAAUGCGGCUUCUGGAUGCAACUCUAUGACUUGAGUACUUAGAUCUUCAUCUUCGGGCACAAUUUGAUACCGUCCCAAUUGUCUAUAGACCUUAUGUGGUGCAUACGGUUUAAUACUUUUCACACCUAUUAUCCUCAAUUAGCCCUUAGCAACAUUCAUGUAUAUGGCUUCUGUAUUUGGAAGCCAUCCUAUGGACCACUCAAUUUGACUUGCUUUGAGAGCUUUCAAAUGAGACAUCCAUACUUCAAACCCCUCUGGCACGUUGUAUUCUUUACCCUCUCUUCAUAACUAGUGAUGAAAUUAU